AGAGUUUGAUCAUGGCUCAGAUUGAACGCUGGCGGCAUGCCUUACACAUGCAAGUCGAACGGCAGCACGGGGCAACCUGGUGGCGAGUGGCGAACGGGUGGGUAAUGCAUCGGAACGUGCCAUUGAGUGGGGAUAACGUAGCGAAAGUUACGCUAAUACCGCAUAUUCUGUGAGCAGGAAAGCAGGGGACCGCAAGGCCUUGCGCUCUUUGAGCGGCCGAUGUCAGAUUAGCUAGUUGGUGGGGUAACGGCUUACCAAGGCGACGAUCUGUAGCGGGUCUGAGAGGAUGAUCCGCCACACUGGAACUGAGACACGGUCCAGACUCCUACGGGAGGCAGCAGUGGGGAAUUUUGGACAAUGGGCGCAAGCCUGAUCCAGCCAUGCCGCGUGAGUAAAGAAGGCCUUCGGGUUGUAAAGCUCUUUCGGCCGGGAAGAAAUCGCAUGGGUUAAUACCCUGUGUGGAUGACGGUACCGGAAUAAGAAGCACCGGCUAACUACGUG
RNAcentral lists this ribosomal RNA (501 nucleotides) under uncultured bacterium. RNAcentral's name for it is "bacterial SSU rRNA". It matches the Rfam family "Bacterial small subunit ribosomal RNA", at positions 8 to 507 of the family's 1533-position model. The record is from RNAcentral.